Molecule: non-coding RNA, 23 nt
Filed under: Mus musculus (house mouse)
Lineage: Eukaryota; Metazoa; Chordata; Mammalia; Rodentia; Muridae
Source: RNAcentral
UAAUCUUAAUCUCACUGAUAUCU